RNAcentral lists this ribosomal RNA (1048 nucleotides) under Protoblastenia incrustans. RNAcentral's name for it is "partial large subunit ribosomal RNA". The stretch from base 1 to 498 matches the Rfam family "Bacterial large subunit ribosomal RNA", at positions 837 to 1301 of the family's 2925-position model. Lineage: Eukaryota; Fungi; Ascomycota; Lecanoromycetes; Lecanorales; Psoraceae. The record is from RNAcentral.
AAUCUCAUACAACAUGUGUUAUGCUUUUCGUUAACUUAAUGAUGGGUAUGAUACUUUUGUGGACAUUGGGGGGUCGUGAAGACUCUAUCAGUGAGUAUUUGUUCUCGGAAGGGCCACAUAUGAAUAUUGAAUAAUCGGACAUAGUACGAUAAGGUUGUAUGUCUAAAGGGAAACAGCCCAGAACAAGAGUUAAUAAGGUUCCAAAAUUAUUGUUAAGUGAAAUUAAGGUAGUAUUUAUCCCAAACGAUCAGGAAAUAGGCUUAGAAGCGGCCACUUUUUGAAGAUCUCGUAACAGAGCACUGGUUUCUUUUACAAGUUAUCUUGUAUAUAAACAAGGAUAAAAGCACCGAAAAUUCAACGGAUCUAAACAAUAUACCGACACCUUGUCUAUACAUAUAAACGUAUGUAUGGGGUAGCAGAACGUUGGGUAAAGUACGAAACUUUAGAUCUCUUUGAGAUACUAGAGCUCUUUAAAUCAUCCCAAGUGAAAAUGCUGACAUGAGUAACGAUAAAGGGAGAGAGCAGAUGCUAAUGCGGUAUCCCUUCGCCUUAAGCUUAUGGUAUUUAUUAAAGUCACGGCCUCUAAGUUUGCGUGUUUUAUUGUGACUAAAUGAGAUUAGAAUUUUUGUCUAUGUAUCUGUGUGUUAAUAAAUAGAUAAAAACAAGUCUAGUAUCUAUUCAUUAAUGAGCAGAAAGCACUCACAUGUAAAUAAAUAUAUUGAAAUGAGUGCAUAUAGGUAAAAUGAAUCAUGAUAAAAUACACCUAAAGGUACAAACGAUACGAUGAGCAAAUCUAAGCCAUACCAGAAAACAACAUAUUAAAUUUAUCAAGCAAUUAAAAUGUUUUUCUUGUUUUUUCAAAAAAUUUUAAUUAGUGUUAGUAAAUUGGUAGUGAAAUAUGUUCUGGAAAACUGGAAAAGGUGAAAGAGCAAUUUCUUAUGGUAGCAAUAAACUAAAAGAGAUGACAUACUUAUAUUGUUUUAACCAACAAUAUAUGUUGCUCUGACCCGCCGGCAAUAAUACCGUACCUAAAUACUACCACAAGUAA